GACGAACGCUGGCGGCGUGCCUAAUACAUGCAAGUCGAACGCAGUGGGGACGGGUGAGUAACACGUGGGUAACCUCCCAUCAGAGGGGAUAACAAUUGGAAACAGGUGCUAAACCGAUACUGAUGGAUGGACCCGCGGUGCAUUAGCUAGUUGGUGAGGUAACGGCUCACUAAGGCCACGAUGCAUAGCCGCUCUGAGAGGAUGAUCGGCCACACUGGAACUGAGACACGGCCCAGACUCCGCCGGCAGGCAGCAGUAGGGAAUCUUCGGGAAUGGACGAAAGUCUGACCAAGCCACGCCGCGUGAGUGAAGAAGGUUUUCGGCUUGUAAAACUCUGUUGUUGGAGAAGCGGUAUCUAAACAAAAAGCCACGGAUAACUACGUGCCAGCAGCCGCGGUAAUAC
Molecule: ribosomal RNA, 403 nt
Filed under: uncultured bacterium
Lineage: Bacteria
Description: partial 16S ribosomal RNA
Rfam family: Bacterial small subunit ribosomal RNA
Source: RNAcentral